CAUUUAGUGAACAGGGCUCUGACCCAACACUCUCUCUUACGGGAUGACAGUGGUCCACUGCAAACAUGAGGUCGAAUCAGGGUUCAGUCUCUAUCAACUUUCGAUGCCACUUUCUGUACCUACCAUGGUGACCACGGGUAACGGGGAAUCAGGGUUCAAUUCCAGAGAGGGAGCCUGAGAAACGGCUAACACAUCCAAGGAAGGCAG
This is a non-coding RNA of Pelobates cultripes (western spadefoot toad), 207 nucleotides long. Lineage: Eukaryota; Metazoa; Chordata; Amphibia; Anura; Pelobatidae. The record is from the annotation of a GenBank genome assembly.